UACGUAGGGCGCAAGCGUUAUCCGGAAUUAUUGGGCGUAAAGAGCUCGUAGGCGGUUUGUCGCGUCUGCCGUGAAAGUCCGGGGCUCAACUCCGGAUCUGCGGUGGGUACGGGCAGACUAGAGUGAUGUAGGGGAGACUGGAAUUCCUGGUGUAGCGGUGAAAUGCGCAGAUAUCAGGAGGAACACCGAUGGCGAAGGCAGGUCUCUGGGCCAUUACUGACACUGAGAAGCGAAAGCAUGGGGAGCGAACAGG
Molecule: ribosomal RNA, 253 nt
Filed under: uncultured bacterium
Lineage: Bacteria
Description: partial 16S ribosomal RNA
Rfam family: Bacterial small subunit ribosomal RNA
Source: RNAcentral